AGAGUUUGAUCAUGGCUCAGAUUGAACGCUGGCGGCAUGCCUUACACAUGCAAGUCGAACGGCAGCACGGGGGGUAACCCCUGGUGGCGAGUGGCGAACGGGUGAGUAAUAUAUCGGAACGUGCCCUGUAGCGGGGGAUAACCUAUCGAAAGAUGGACUAAUACCGCAUACGCUCUACGGAGGAAAGCGGGGGUCGCAAGACCUCGCACUAUAGGAGCGGCCGAUAUCGGAUUAGCUAGUUGGCGGGGUAAAAGCCCACCAAGGCGACGAUCCGUAGCUGGUCUGAGAGGAUGAUCAGCCACACUGGAACUGAGACACGGUCCAGACUCCUACGGGAGGCAGCAGUGGGGAAUUUUGGACAAUGGGCGCAAGCCUGAUCCAGCCAUGCCGCGUGAGUGAAGAAGGCCUUCGGGUUGUAAAGCUCUUUCGGCAGGAACGAAAUGGUUCGUGCUAAUACCACAGACUGAUGACGGUACCUGAAGAAGAAGCACCGGCUAACUACGUGCCAGCAGCCGCGGUAAUACGUAGGGUGCAGGCGUUAAUCGGAAUUACUGGGCGUAAAGCGUGCGCAGGCGGUUUCUUAAGUCAGAUGUGAAAGCCCCGGGCUUAACCUGGGAACUGCGUUUGAAACUGGGAGACUUGAGUGUGGCAGAGGGGGGUGGAAUUCCACGUGUAGCAGUGAAAUGCGUAGAUAUGUGGAGGAACACCGAUGGCGAAGGCAGCCCCCUGGGUUAACACUGACGCUCAUACACGAAAGCGUGGGGAGCAAACAGGAUUAGAUACCCUAGUAGUCC
RNAcentral lists this ribosomal RNA (794 nucleotides) under uncultured bacterium. Its description in RNAcentral is "bacterial SSU rRNA". It matches the Rfam family "Bacterial small subunit ribosomal RNA", at positions 8 to 796 of the family's 1533-position model. The record is from RNAcentral.